AGGCAGUCCAAAACUUGGAUCCAUGCUGGAUACUGAGAUACAUGAAUCUAGUAGUCUCCUCUUCCUUGUGGAGGGUUUAUAUUAUGAGAUUAAUUUAAUAUAACAGAUUAAAUUACAGAAACAUCCUGGAACAGGCUGAGUGAAUAGCCCAUGAUAAGACAGCUGCAUUCAGGAACAUCUGGGUGAUGUUAGUACCAGAGAUCAAGAAAAUGUACAUCCAGCAUUAUAACAUUAAUAGGUCCCAGAGACACAGACGAGGUUUUCAUCUCGAGGCCAAAAGACCAAAAACAUCAAGACACUUGAUCACGGCCUUGGAUAGACCAAGAGACUACUCACACUUGAUCUGAGCUCAUAGAGCCGAGUACAUUUCCCUUAAGUUGACCAAAAAGGGCCUUUGAAAAAGAGAAUCUACAGAAGGACAGCAAUAGAGCAAAGGAUCAGGUACCUCUGUUUAGCUCUCAUGCAAUGUGACUUUCUAGUGAGUUAUAAUUUGUCAAAUUUGGUAUAAAGCAACUUUUUAAACUAGUUCUUGACUUAAAUUACAUUAAUAAUAUCCCCCCUAAAAAAAAUUCUUUCAAGCAUUACCAUUAACAAAAAUAAUAAUAAUAAUAAUAUUUGGCAGUUUCUCUAUAGAUAGAAAAGAGCAUAUGAAAUAAUGUUGGGUAUUUUGCCAAGUCUGUCAAAUGAGUAACACUUCCACUUUCUCAGCUCUGUCUCAUUAAAAUUGUAUUCUAAUUCUGUCUCAACUUGGUCUCUCUGCUUCAUAAGUCAUUGCCUGCUCAUUACUUGUAGUGUGAGAGAUGAAAUUUAUUCAAACUUCAUAGCAGGGAUAAAGAAUUGAAAGGCAGGCAGCUGGGAGAAAUGAAAUUAGCUUAUUUUAAUGUUUUUUCGAGAAGACCUUUUCAUAGCCAUGGGUUAACAUAAGUGUCAGUUUGGAUUUGUGGCGCUAUCUUUGUUUAGUUGUUUGGGGUUUUUUUUAAAUACACAGCAUUUGAAACACUGAUAUAUGCUUUCAUUUGUCAUAUCAGUGAAAUAAUGUUCAAUAUCUAUGUUGAUAAUGGGGUCACAUAUUUGCUACAAUAUUCUGUAAUUAUGCAAUCAUUAUAAUUGUCCAACAAAGACUAAAUUUUUGCUAUUGUUUAUUAGAUUCUACUGCAGAAUCCCUAAGUGAAUGCUAUACACUGUCAAUGGUUUUGGGCAAAUUAUAUAAAAUGUAAUAUAAUUUACAAGCAAUUUAAUGUGGAAUACAGAAGGGAGCUGAGCUUUCUAGCCCAAAUAUUCUAUCUCAAGCUUUGAAUGUCAAAAGAAUGCAUUAAGGGAUUUCUAAUUUUGAAUAUAGGAGAGCAUUAGGAGCAAAUUGACUAAAAGCACAGUGCUUUUCCAUUAUAAAAUUGAGUUGUUAAGGAAUUAUAUGGUCUAAUUACUGAACUUGGUAUUUUUGACUACUUGGAUUAUGAACAGAUAUUGUCAUUAACUAGCUAAUUAAAUUGACUGCAAUAACAAGCAGUAAUUUAGAAAUAUGUUCUAAAUUAGUUUUUAUAUGAAAGCAAAGUCUUUGUUGAUCUGUGUAUAUGAUUAGUGUCAAGUGUCAUGAAUUAGCUCAGAGAUCUCUGUGGAGGA
Molecule: long non-coding RNA, 1620 nt
Organism: Mauremys mutica (yellowpond turtle)
Lineage: Eukaryota; Metazoa; Chordata; Testudines; Geoemydidae
Exons: 3
Source: RefSeq, a predicted model, not a curated record